This 230-nucleotide unclassified non-coding RNA is filed under the name Ascomycota sp. RNAcentral's name for it is "partial contains small subunit ribosomal RNA, internal transcribed spacer 1, and 5.8S ribosomal RNA". The stretch from base 1 to 47 matches the Rfam family "Eukaryotic small subunit ribosomal RNA", at positions 1785 to 1831 of the family's 1831-position model. The record is from RNAcentral. Lineage: Eukaryota; Fungi; Ascomycota.
AAAGUCGUAACAAGGUUUCCGUAGGUGAACCUGCGGAAGGAUCAUUACUGAGCUCAUACCUACCCGGUAGAACUCCACCCUUGAAUACCAAUAUUGUUGCUUUGGCGGGCCGCCUCGGCUACUGGCUUCGGCUGGUAAGUGCCCGCCAGAGAACCCUAAACUUUGAAUCACAGUGUCGUCUGAGUACUAUGUAAUAGUUAAAACUUUCAACAACGGAUCUCUUGGUUCUG